Molecule: ribosomal RNA, 788 nt
Filed under: uncultured bacterium
Lineage: Bacteria
Description: bacterial SSU rRNA
Rfam family: Bacterial small subunit ribosomal RNA
Source: RNAcentral
AGAGUUUGAUCAUGGCUCAGAGCGAACGCUGGCGGCGUGCUUAACACAUGCAAGUCGAGUGCGUACUCCGUAGCAAUACGGAAUGACGCACGGCGCACGGGUGCGUAACACGUGGGUAAUCUGCCCUUCGAUGGGGAAUAACCCCGGGAAACCGGGGCUAAUUCCGCAUAACAUUUCGAGGAUUUCGGUCUUUGAAUUCAAAGGCGUAAGUCGUCGGAGGAGGAGCCCGCGCACGAUUAGCUAGUUGGUGAGGUAAUGGCUCACCAAGGCUAUGAUCGUUAGCUGGUCUGAGAGGAUGGCCAGCCACACUGGAACUGAGACACGGUCCAGACUCCUACGGGAGGCAGCAGUGGGGAAUCUUGCACAAUGGGCGAAAGCCUGAUGCAGCGACGCCGCGUGGGGGAUGAAGCAUUUCGGUGUGUAAACCCCUUUCGACCCGGACGAAUGCCUCGCAAGAGGACUGACGGUACGGGUAUAAGAAGCCCCGGCUAACUACGUGCCAGCAGCCGCGGUAAGACGUAGGGGGCCAGCGUUGCUCGGAAUUACUGGGUGUAAAGGGUUCGUAGGCGGUGCGGCAAGUUGGGAGUGAAAUCUCUGGGCUCAACCCAGAGGCUGCUUCCAAAACUGCUGUGCUUGAGUGUGGGAGAGGCGCGUGGAAUUGCAGGUGUAGCGGUGAAAUGCGUAGAUAUCUGCAGGAACACCCGUGGCGAAAGCGGCGCGCUGGACCACAACUGACGCUGAGGAACGAAAGCUAGGGGAGCGAACAGGAUUAGAUACCCUAGUAGUCC